This is a non-coding RNA of Actinoalloteichus sp. GBA129-24, 74 nucleotides long. Lineage: Bacteria; Bacillati; Actinomycetota; Actinomycetes; Pseudonocardiales; Pseudonocardiaceae. The record is from Rfam.
CGGGCUGUAGCGCAGCUUGGUAGCGCAUCCGCUUUGGGAGCGGAGGGUCGCAGGUUCAAAUCCUGUCAGCCCGA